GCGGGGCUGUCUGGACAGCGCCCCGGGGGCGCGCGGGGCGGGCGGCGCGCGGCCGGAGUCCUGCUGGUCACGCUCGGGCCGGGUUCUCGGAGAGAACCUCAGCGUCCUCAUCCAGCCCACUUCUGACCUGUCUUCAGAUCCCCCGUGCACUCUGCUCCUUCCCUCGCAAGGUCUGGGGUUAUGCAAGAGCUUGCCACUGGCGCAGUCGGCGUCCUUAGCAAUAAAAAGAUGCGGGGGGUGGGGGGAGGUGUCCUGCAGUAAUCUAGCCCUGUCCUAGGCGCCAUGGGAUUUUACAGUGGAAAGGAAGGAACAUUCCCCGCCGCAGAGGCUGACAACCUCGGUCCUUGGAUACGCGAAAACACUCCAGUGUGCUAAUAUUAUCCAGAGCAUCAAAAAGGCAUGCGAGGAUCAAAUUUUGCAUGGUGUCUGCUGAGUGUGAGGAAAACACCAAGCCAUUUUCUCUGCCCUCUAGAAGCUGGUUCAUUCAUGCAGCAGGCAGUUCUCGGAUGACUGCAGUACUGCAGAAGGUUGCAAAGGAAGUGGAAGCUCUGGUUCCUGCAGGUCAGGAGUUUACAGUCUAAUUAGGAACACAAGCAUAUAUUCUUGCAACAGGUAGAAAAGAAUCCCCACAUAUAAUCAGCAAGAAAAGAAGGCUAGGGGCAUUUUUUUCAGAAGGGGAAGAACUUUAUGCCUAUGUGAUCGGUGGGCCUCAGGAAAGGAAAUUCCAGAUCAAUUAUCAAGAGUGCUUGUAUGUAUCCCUGCUCUGUAAGCAAGGGGACCUCAGUGUCACUUGGCUGAAGUCUCAGUCCUGCCACGUACAAAUUGUGUGCCCUUGGGACGUUUUUAACCUCUCUGAGAAAGGAAUAUGGCCUGUCUCAUGAGGUCUGUUGUGCAGUUCAAAUGUGAUUACACAUACCUGUAAGCUCAAGCCACAGUGUUAAUGUUCCUCAGUUCAUACAUUUACGGAGCCCUCAUUUUACUGGACUUUUCUUGAUUCACUUGUUUCUAGUCUCUAGGCUGUAAGCUCCAUUGAGGGCAGGGCGGGGUUUAGUUGUGUUCACCAUGCAUCAUCAUGUCUAGCAGAGUGGCUCAAUAAAGGUUUGCUGAAUAAGUUGGUGAAUGAACUAAUGAAUCCUUUUAAGCUUUUAACUGUUUCUUUUGUAUCUUUUCUUUUACUAGUGCUCUUGUUAUAUGGCCAGCUCAAUGCAAAAACCUGUAACUCAACCCUCCUAUGGCUAACCUAUAUUCCAGGGGACAUUUGGGUGGCUUCUGGGUAGUUCUUGUGGCCUUAGUACAUAGAUUGAUUCAUACAUAGAACAGGAAGAUACACAAGGAUACAUUUCUCCACACAAGCCCUGUCCACACAAGGAUAUGGUUUUUGGCUUGGACACCUUAAUGCAGGGUUUGUCUACUUUGGAACUAUUGACAUUGUUGACUGGGGAAUUGUAGGGUGCUGUACUGUGUGCGCUGUAAAUGUUUUACAGCAUCCUGGGCCUCUGCCCAUUAGAUACAAAUGAGACGCCUUCCCUCCACAGUCAUGACAACCAAAAUGUCUCCAGAUACCACCAGAUGUCUCCUGGGGGUCAAAAUUGCCCCCUGUUGAGAACCACUGCCUAACUCUGAUAUCUAAUCCAUUGAUUUGAUUCCAGUGGAAAAUUACACCAGUAAAGUAACUUGGAGGAAAUACAUCCUCUGUUAUUCUAAGAUUCUCAGAUCUCUUCCAUCGUAUGUUUCAAGGAGCACGACUCUUGUUAAUUAAUUGCCUGCUGCAUUGUGAAUUGGCAUCUCUUCUGUUUUCUGCAUAUCCUCCUCCUUUACGCCCAGAUCAACAUGUUCAUUUCUAAAAGUCAACAGCUUUCAAAAACUAUUAGGAAACUGGGUCUUGAGCAACCUACGAGUUCUGUACAAUAUUUUCCUAUAACAUUUGGGUAAAACUUAUUCUAUAAAAUAUUGCAAGAAGCUACCCUGUUACAGUUAAGCUCUUAGAUUUACAAACAAUAACCAUAGCCUGUCUGCACUCAGAUUACAAGUGAUAUGGGAUACAAAUUGUAACUUUUGGAAAUGACUUCAUUUAAAGUAUUUAAGUAACUACAUGGAGUGAUUUUCUUUCAUCACGAAACCAAUUUUUUUUUAUUCCCGAGAGAUUUCAUUGCAUAAUGGUUACAAGAGAACAUGAUUUACUAAAACCUGUAAAGCAAAAAUCAGCUUAGUUACACAUGUCAAUAUCCAAAAGCAAAUUCUUUAAAAAAAAAUUUGGUGGAAUGUUUGAGAGCUGGUGCUAUUGAUGAAAAAUCCUGAUGGAUUGAUGGGCUACAGUUCAAUUUCUAAAACCUUCUUGAAGAAAAAUAAGGAGUACUGGUUAAAGAAAUAAACAAAUUCUGAUAAGUCUGUCCACUCACUAUGGGCAGGUAGAACUGAAAAACCUCUACUCCUCAGAGGCAAUAGGGCAGUGUUUCCAAAGUAAGCAGCCAUUUUUGUCCAGCAAGGCAGUAUCUUCUUGUCUCAUUAAAUGAAGUUAUUUGAAUCAUCAGCUUGAUAGUUCUGUGCAUAUUCAGUUUGGGUUUUAUAGUUGUGUAAUGGUUACAAGCCUAUGGAGAUUACUUUGCAUCUAGUUUAGUGAUUGUGCACGUUAAGGUGGUUGUGUCCAAGACUAGGUAGGCAUCCAAACUGCUGAGAAAAAGAACAGUUUGACGGCUGGAUGUGGUUUGUGGUGAAGAGAUUCUCCCAUUUCUGUUUUGUUAGACUGGAACUAGGACAAGUACUCUUAAGGGAUCUCCAAGUUCUCUAUGAAAUCCAUGAAAUUGGUGCUUUUGCUUCAGUUGUAAUAUUUUUCAAAGAAAUUAAUAUGAUGCAUAGUGAAUGUCUGCCAUGUAUCCAUGCUCCCAUUAUUCUUUUUUUGCUAUGUACUUAAAAGAAUAUACACUUUGUUUAAUUAUAUUUUAAUAAAAAUAAUGUAAGGCAUUA
Manis javanica (Malayan pangolin) is the source of this 2964-nucleotide long non-coding RNA. RefSeq lists it as uncharacterized. NCBI's taxonomy places the organism in Eukaryota, Metazoa, Chordata, Mammalia, Pholidota, Manidae. The record is from RefSeq and is a predicted model, not a curated record.